AAAUUCAGGACCUCAGGCCCCACCCUAGACCUCCUGAAACUGAACCUGCAUCUUAACAAGGUCUAUAAGCAGUUUUCAUGCACGUGAACAAUUUCAGAAAGUACUACUCUAAGGGGCUAGAGAAUAUAAUAUACAAUUGUUCAUGAGGUCUGGUGUGUAUGUGUUGGGGAAAAUGGAUGUGGACUCGGUCCUGGUGACUGAGCAUUGGAAGGGGAGCCAGACUGUGAAUGGAAGGGUGCUCACAACCAGCCACUGAACUGGUGAGGUAGGAAACAAGGGACCUCUUCUGUUACAUAAAAAAUGUUCUUGUAUGAAGACAUCAUGAGGGUUAAUGGAGUCUGACCUGGAAGAAAAUGCCUACAUGUUUAUAUGAAAAGCAGGGUGUUUCUGGUGGAGGCAUGUAGAAUACUCAUGUGAAAAGUACUGGUUUCCUGCCUGGUGCUCUCAUCAUUACUGGUCUCAUCUUAUCCUGGUGGCUAAAUCCUAAACAGGUCCAGGCUUUACAGUUACCAGUUCUGAGAAUGGGGAGACUUGGUUACCUGCCAUCGUGACACCCGUUUGGAACCCUGGAACUCUGGGACCGAUCACAGCCACCAGGCCAAGCUCCUCACCCAACCCUUAAAACCAAACCAAAAAGCAGAACAAAUAUGCCUUCCUCCACUUCUUAAACAUGUUUGUAGUGGGAAACUGGAUGCAAAUGAACAGAAUGGCUCAGUAUGGAUGUGGGCAUAUGUUUAAAAAAAAA
Molecule: long non-coding RNA, 745 nt
Organism: Lutra lutra (Eurasian river otter)
Lineage: Eukaryota; Metazoa; Chordata; Mammalia; Carnivora; Mustelidae
Exons: 4
Source: RefSeq, a predicted model, not a curated record